GGUUUGAUUAUGGCCCAGACGGAACGCUGGCGGGAUGCUUACACAUGCAAGUCGAACGGCAGCACGGACUUCGGUCUGGUGGCGAGUGGCGAACGGGUGAGUAAUGUAUCGGAACGUGCCUAGUAGCGGGGAUAACUACGCGAAAGCGUAGCUAAUACCGCAUACGCCCUUCGGGGGAAAGCGGGGGGACCUUCGGGCCUCGCACUAUUAGAGCGGCCGAUAUCGGAUUAGCUAGCUGGUGGGGUAACGGCUCACCAAGGCGACGAUCCGAAGGAUUGAGAGGACGACCAGCCACACUGGGACUGAGACACGGCCCAGACUCCUACGGGAGGCAGCAGUGGGGAAUUUUUGGACAAUGGGGGAAACCCUGAUCCAGCCAUCCCGCGUGUGCGAUGAAGGCCUUCGGGUUGUAAAGCACUUUUGGCAGGAAAAGAAAACGGCACGGGAUAAUACCCCGUGCAACUGACGGUACCUGCAGAAUAAGCACCGGCUAACCACGUGCCAGCAGCCGCGGUAAUACGUAGGGUGCAAGCGUUAAUCGGAAUUACUGGGCGUAAAGCGUGCGCAGGCGGUUCGGAAAGAAAGAUGUGAAAUCCAGAGCUUAACCGGAACUGCAUUUUUAACUACCGAGCUAGAGUGUGUCAGAGGGAGGUGGAAUUCCGCGUGUAGCAGUGAAAUGCGUAGAUAUAAGAGGUUCUCCACCGAUGGCGAAGGCAGCCUCCUGGGAUAACACUGACGUUUAUGCAUCGAAAGCAGUGGGGAGCAAAUACAGGAUUAGAUACUCCGGAGAAUCACACGUUCAAACGAUGUCAACUAGCUGUUGGGGCUUCCGGCCUUGGUAUGCGCAGACGCUAACGGGCAGUGAAGUUGACCGCCUGGGAGUAUUAUCGCAAGAUUAAACCGCGAAUUGAUGGGGACCCGCACAAGCGGUGGAGAUGAUGAUUAAUUCGAUGCAACGCGAAAACUUACCUACCCUUUAUGGUUCUGGAAUCCCGAAGAGAUUUGGGAGGUUCGGCAGAGAACGAAACUCAGAAAGCAUGGCUGUCGUCAGCUCGUGUCGUGAGAUGUUGGGUUAAGUCCCGCAACGAGCGCAACCCUUGUCAUUAGUUGCUACGAAAGGGUACUCUAUCGAGACUGCUGGUGACAAACCGGAGGAAGGUGGGGAUGACGUCGUCCUCAUGGCCCUUAUGGGUAGGGCUUCACACGUCAUACAAUGGUCGGGACAGAGGGUCGCCAACCCGCGAGGGGAGCCAAUCCCAGGAAACCCGAUCGUAGUCCGGAUCGCAGUCUGCAACCUGACUGCGUGAAGUCGGAAUCUAGUAAUCGCGGAUCAGCAUGUCGCGGUGAAUACGUUCCGGUCUUGUACACACCGCCCGUCACAAUUGGUGGGAGAGUGGGUUUACCAGAAGUAGUUAGCCUAACCUCGGGAGGGCGAUUACCACGGUAGGAUUCACAUCGGGUGAAGUCGCACGAAGGCCGC
RNAcentral lists this ribosomal RNA (1480 nucleotides) under uncultured Bordetella sp. RNAcentral describes it as "partial 16S-23S ribosomal RNA intergenic spacer". It matches the Rfam family "Bacterial small subunit ribosomal RNA". Lineage: Bacteria; Pseudomonadati; Pseudomonadota; Betaproteobacteria; Burkholderiales; Alcaligenaceae. The record is from RNAcentral.